CUAUGCGCCUUGCCACGCCCGACUCAAGAAACUACAAAGGAAGUUCGACGGGGCCCCCGCACAAGCAGCGGAGCGUGUGGUUUAAUUCAAUGCUACACGAAGAACCUUACCAGGGUUUGACAUACAAGUAGUAGGGAAAGGAAACUGGACCGACCCUUCGGGGAGCUUGAACAGGUGCUGCAUGGCUGUCGUCAGCUCGUGUCGUGAGAUGUUCGGUUAAGUCCGCUAACGAGCGCAACCCUCGCUGUGUGUUACAAGUGUCACACGGAACUGCCGGUCAUAAACCGGAGGAAGGUGGGGAUGACGUCAAGUCAGCAUGGCCUUUAUAUCCUGGGCUACACACACGCUACAAUGGGAAGGGACAAUAGGUUGCGAAACCGCGAGGUGGAGCCAAUCCAGCAAAACUUCCCUCAGUUCAGAUUGCAGGCUGCAACUCGCCUGCAUGAAGUUGGAGUUGCUAGUAAACGCAGGUCAGCCAUACUGCGUUGAAUACGUUCCCGGGGCUU
This 506-nucleotide ribosomal RNA is filed under the name uncultured Anaerolineaceae bacterium. RNAcentral describes it as "bacterial SSU rRNA". It matches the Rfam family "Bacterial small subunit ribosomal RNA", at positions 903 to 1382 of the family's 1533-position model. Lineage: Bacteria; Bacillati; Chloroflexota; Anaerolineae; Anaerolineales; Anaerolineaceae. The record is from RNAcentral.